This is a non-coding RNA of Camellia sinensis, 1205 nucleotides long. Lineage: Eukaryota; Viridiplantae; Streptophyta; Magnoliopsida; Ericales; Theaceae. The record is from RefSeq and is a predicted model, not a curated record.
UAUAUAAUAAAGCAGAACGGAUUUUGAAAAUAUCCUAGAGACAUUUGUCCUACUAAGACAUUUGAAUGGUGAAGAUUCAUUUGCCUAUUUACAUGAACGGCUGAGAUUACCCAUUCAAUAUGUGUCAAUCCCCUUCCCGCCCAAACACUAAAGUAACUGCACACCCACGUCUCAUCUCCAGCCUACUCACCCACGUCUCAUCUCCUUCUAUCUUUAUCUCUUCUCUUCUUUGUUCUCACCCAUCCCUCUUUUAUCUCUCUGCUCUCCAGCCCUGUUCUUCUUCUUCUUCUGCUCUCCAGGUCAGAUCACUUUUCAAUUGUUCUUGCAAUUGUUCUUUAUCUUUUUUGAUAUUUUCAGAUGGAGAAAAUUUGGAUUUCGGUUCUGUAGAUCAAGUUCGUGAUCUUGAGACCCGAUUGGGACCCAACAAAUUCCAGAAGCAAUUUCGCUCGCUGGGUCGACUUCGCGAUCGCAAGUAAACAACUCGAUACGCUACGGUACAGAAGAGUUUGAUCGCAAGGUAAAAUUCUCUUUUUGGGGUUUUCUGAACCAAGCUUUGAUGGGUCAGAGGAUUCGAAAUGGAGGUUUCUCUGGGCUGAUUCAUAUGGAUUUGGAGGUCUGAAUCUGGGUUUACAGAGUGGGUUCAAUGUAGAAGAGCUCUCUUCAAUCCCAAACUUAAGGUCUUAUAAUUAUUACUCUGAUGAUCAACACUGUGGUCUCUGCCACAAGAAGAAGCGCGUUAAUGGCGAAAACUUUGGGCUAUCUCCCCCGAUCAAUGGCUGUGAUUUUCUAGGAUUGAAUCUACGAAACAAGCGAAUUGUCGACGGAGAGAAUCAAGAUCUUAGCAUGGGAGCUCUGGGUUAUGGCGGUGGCAAUGUUGAUCAGGUGAAGAAGGAGCCUUAAGCAGGGCAGAUGUAUCUCAUAGAUGAAAGAGAUAUCUCAAAGAUGAAAGAGAAUGAGUGGUGGAAGAUGGAGGAGAGAGAAUAAGUGGGGAAUUGAUGGACAAGGUGUGGGUUUUGUGUUUCUAACCAUUAAAUUGAUUUUUAAUUUUUUUUAAUUUUUUUAUGUGUGUGUUCUUUUUUUUUUAAAUAGAUUUUUAUUUUUUUUUAAUUUUUAUGUAGUUUAUGGAUUUGGAUUUAAUUUUUUAAAAUGUUUUAGGUUUAAAAUAAUAGUUGAUCUUUAUAAAAUGGGUUUCGAUUUUAGAAAUA